GACGAACGCUGGCGGCGUGCUUAACACAUGCAAGUCGAACGGAAAGGCCCUGCUUUUGUGGGGUGCUCGAGUGGCGAACGGGUGAGUAACACGUGAGUAACCUGCCCUUGACUUUGGGAUAACUUCAGGAAACUGGGGCUAAUACCGGAUAGGAGCUCCUGCUGCAUGGUGGGGGUUGGAAAGUUUCGGCGGUUGGGUAUGGACUCGCGGCUUAUCAGCUUGUUGGUGGGGUAGUGGCUUACCAAGGCUUUGACGGGUAGCCGGCCUGAGAGGGUGACCGGCCACAUUGGGACUGAGAUACGGCCCGGACUCCUACGGGAGGCAGCAGUGGGGAAUAUUGCACAAUGGGCGGAAGCCUGAUGCAGCAACGCCGCGUGCGGGAUGACGGCCUUCGGGUUGUAAACCGCUUUCGCCUGUGACGAAGCGUGAGUGACGGUAAUGGGUAAAGAAGCACCGGCUAACUACGU
Molecule: ribosomal RNA, 467 nt
Filed under: uncultured bacterium
Lineage: Bacteria
Description: partial 16S ribosomal RNA
Rfam family: Bacterial small subunit ribosomal RNA
Source: RNAcentral